This 460-nucleotide ribosomal RNA is filed under the name uncultured bacterium. Its description in RNAcentral is "partial 16S ribosomal RNA". It matches the Rfam family "Bacterial small subunit ribosomal RNA", at positions 338 to 795 of the family's 1533-position model. The record is from RNAcentral.
CCUACGGGAGGCAGCAGUGAGGAAUAUUGGUCAAUGGACGAGAGUCUGAACCAGCCAAGUAGCGUGAAGGAUGACUGCCCUAUGGGUUGUAAACUUCUUUUAUAAAGGAAUAAAACGAGGCACGUGUGCCUUUUUGCAUUUACUUUAUGAAUAAGGAUCGGCUAACUCCGUGCCAGCAGCCGCGGUAAUACGGAGGAUCCGAGCGUUAUCCGGAUUUGUUGGGUUUAAAGGGAGCGUAGAUGGGUUGUUAAGUCAGUUGUGAAAGUUUGCGGCUCAACCGUAAAAUUGCAAUUGAUACUGGCAGUCUUGAGUACAGUUGAGGUAGGCGGAAUUCGUGGUGUAGCGGUGAAAUGCUUAGAUAUCACGAAGAACCCCGAUUGCGAAGGCAGCUUACUAAACUGUGACUGACAUUGAUGCUCGAAAGUGUGGGUAUCAAACAGGAUUAGAUACCCCUGUAGUC